This is a long non-coding RNA of Solanum verrucosum, 1008 nucleotides long. RefSeq lists it as uncharacterized. The transcript is spliced from 3 exons. Lineage: Eukaryota; Viridiplantae; Streptophyta; Magnoliopsida; Solanales; Solanaceae. The record is from RefSeq and is a predicted model, not a curated record.
UAUAACUAAAGUAAUUCUCUUGACUUUCAAUGUAGACAUUAAAAACUUUUGUUUUAUUGUAUUGGAUUUCAAUGGUGUUCGGGCCAACUAACACACACCUAUACUAAUUCCACGGUGUACCUACUAUCACCCACCAACACUGAUACCUGUAAUUUUGUCCACCAAGGCCUAUAUAAAUGGAAAGAAAUCAACUAGCUUUUUUGCCUUCACUGGGAUUUGAUUCGAGAAUACAUGUGUUGUCUCAGAAGGAAGAUGGAUGUGUUGCUGGUUUCUUGGAAGAGCGCUUGAACGUGGGUCUUAAUUUCAUUUUAUCAGCCGAGGUCGAUCACAAAAAGAAGACUACAAGUUUGGCUUUGGACUCACAGAUGAGGUAGUUUGAACAGGGAUUAGGUUUUGAUAUAUGAGCACAAGUAAGAUUGAAAGCAUCUUAGCAAGUGAUUUCUUUUCUCAACAUAAAAGAAUCGACUUUUCACUUACUUACUACUUAUUAAAUACCGGCUUGAACAAGGAAAUUGGUUCCUUACCUUCUCUAUUUCCUUCCCUGUGAUUGACUGCUUUUUCUUCAUUUUUCUGUACUUCAGGAGGAAGAGAUCGCUUGGUUCAACUUCCACUGGUGAUGGUGAUCCCUUCUUGAAAACAGUAUAUUCAGUUGAAUUUGAAUAUUCUAAUAAUAAGAUCGAAUCAAUUCCUAUUUGAAAAGAGGAAGUAUUUUUAUCAAGCUGACAUGGUUUCUAGAGCAUCCUUAUCAACUGGUGCAACUAGUCACUUGUAGUUGAUUUUGCAAUUUGAGACAUUCUUUAGAUAUGCACAAUAUAGUUGUGUAUAAUAGACAUACGACCCUUUCCUCAAUCUGCGCAUAGCGGGAAAUUAGUGCUUUUAGACGUUCUUUAGAAUUUGUAGAGUUGACUUUAUUCAGAUGGAGAGAUCUACCAUUCUGAUUUUAUUAUUUGUGACAUAUUUGGUUACUAUGUGCUUAAUAGUUAAUACUACAAAGGUAGUUGCAGUAAA